AUCCCACAUUAAAUCAAGGGGUGUGAAUACUUUCUGAAGGUACAUUAGGCCUUACAUUUACUUACAGGUCAACUGAUAUGAACCAGAAGCCAGACAUGGAGUCUUCCUCAAUGAAGAAGUCAUCCUGCAAUUCUGAGGAUCUUAAUAAGGAGAUAUAUUCCCUCAAAAUAAGUCUGUCUGAAGAUGAUGCAGAUUUUCCAGAGAGGGAAACUGAAAGUGGCAACCUUGAGAGACCUGUGUCUCCAGUAUUCAGUGUGCUGUCAAUGGAGAGUGAUGUCUUCUCCAAUGACGUCACUGAUAAGGACAUUCUUGACUCAAGGUGAUACGUAUAUCCUGGUAGUUUCACUACAUUUCAAUCAUAUUACAAAGGGUUGAAUCAGAGG
Molecule: long non-coding RNA, 383 nt
Filed under: Salmo trutta (river trout)
Lineage: Eukaryota; Metazoa; Chordata; Actinopteri; Salmoniformes; Salmonidae
Description: lncRNA (ENSSTUG00000007188.1)
Source: RNAcentral